UUUAUAUUCAUCUUACCGAGGAGGAAAAUGAGAGUAACCUCUCUCAAGGUAUAUGAUGGCUUCAGCCUGAAAUGGCUUCUGGAGUGGACAGUAGGUCCUAGGGGUCACCAGAAUCUAGGAUUAUAUGGAGGUAUCUCAAAGCUAGUACCAGGAAACAGAGCAUGCUGAGCAAGUAAGACUUAAUAAAGAACCCAGGCAUUUCCCCUCAGCUUCGGCCAGAACAGGGCUGCUUGUAUGCAUUUUCAACAUUGGAUUCCAGGAAAGCUUCUGUAUUAAGAGUUCAAUUUGGCCAGGCAUGAUGUCUCAUGCCUGUAAUCCCAGCACUUUGGGAGGCUGAGGUGGUGGGAUUGCUUUAGCCCAGGAGUUUGAGACGAGCCUGGACAACAUUGGGAAACCCCCCUCUCUAUUAUUAUUAUUGUUAUCAUCAUCAUUAUUAUUAUUAUUUUCAAGUUCAGCUUAAGAAAACAUUUUGUUUCAAAAUAACUUCCUUGGCAAGUGGGAUCUUUGGAAGGGAUUUAAGCAGGGUGUAACACGUCAUAUUCACUUUUUGAAAUAUUGCCCAGAGACUGCAUAGAAAAUAGAUUGAGCCUAGAAACAAUUCUCCAGAGGAGAGUCAUAGAGGACCUGAACUAGGCAGUAGCAGAGGGAUGGAGACAAGAAGACCGCUGUGAGACAUGCCAGGGAAGACGGCCUUCUAGACCCUAGUGACUCUAAGCAUGGUCUCUGGGCCAACAGCCUCAGCAUCUCUCGGGAGAUUGUGAGAAAUGCGAAUUCUCAGGCCCCAACCCAGAUCUACUGAAUAAAAAUCUGCUUGGAAAAGAUCGCCAAGGGAUCCAUAUGCUCCUUAAACUUCAGAAGCACUGCUUUCAGACCACUUGCCUGGGAGAGGGAUGGAGGAAGGAAUGGACGAUGACUCUGAGCCUGUGUUCAAGCAUUAUAAAAUGGGUGAGACCUUCUAGAACAACAUGGAUGAGACCUUUCUUUGAGAAGAGUGCUUUCCCUUCAACAGUGCAAGUGCCAAGAAGCCAGGAGCCAUGUCUAUUUUCUUCUCUACAAGUUCUACUCAGUACCUAAUUCAGUGACUAAUACAGAGCAGGAAUUUGACAGAUGCCUGUUGAAUGAAUGACAAUAGGGGAUUUUGGACAGUUGGAUUAAUUUUUCCAUUUAAGAUGAGCAUACUGAAGCCCAGAGACAUUAAGUAACUAGGCUCAUUAGUAGUGACAGUGAUGUUGCCACCAAACUGUAAAGCCAGGAUUUGGACUCAGGCAAGUGACCCCACAGUUGUGUUCUUGAGUGCUCCACCGCAGCAUCACUACAGGAAGUGGACUAGAUUCUCAUGGGCCUUCAGGAUGAUGAAGAAUUCUGGACGAUUUACAGUGGAAAAUCAGGAUUACUGUGGUUUUUGCCUGCUCCUCCCUGUUCUUCCUUCUUUGUUGUUUAGACAAAUUCUAAACGACAGACCUUCAGCUCUCAAAUGCUAGAACCUUGACGAAGAUUUAUAGCCUAUUCUCUUUAGAGUGCCACUUUUCCUUCCUUUCUUAACUGGACUAUGAAUGGCUCUUAUCUACUUUUGUUCUUUUAUUUUUUUCACAUUUUACUCCAAUUUCCUAGAAUAAAUUCAUAAAUAAUUGGAAGCUGGUUUGGAGACACAGCAAUAAAUUUUUUUAAAUGAUGCUUUGUAGUAGCGACUUAGGCAUUUUCCUUAUUAUGGAUAUGUCUGGACUGUACAAGGAUCUCUUUGUAUAACCAACCUCAAUAAACUGAUGGAUGGAACAGAGGCUUCAUUUGUCUUUGGCACAGUGGCACUAACCUGCUUCAGAAUUUUGACAUCAAUUGUUAGACAUUAAGUAACUUGCCUCUUUCUCAUGAGCCCAGUCAUCAAAAAGGGACAUGGAAAUAUCCUAAUGUUUCACCUGUUUUAUU
This 1923-nucleotide long non-coding RNA is filed under the name Homo sapiens (human). RNAcentral describes it as "HSALNT0101483". The record is from RNAcentral. Lineage: Eukaryota; Metazoa; Chordata; Mammalia; Primates; Hominidae.